GACGAACGCUGGCGGCGUGCUUAACACAUGCAAGUCGAACGAUGAAGCCUAGCUUGCUAGGUGGAUUAGUGGCGAACGGGUGAGUAAUACGUGAGUAACCUACCUUUAACUCUGGGAUAAGCCCGGGAAACUGGGUCUAAUACCGGAUACGACCAAUCUCCGCAUGGGGUGUUGGUGGAAAGCGUUAUGUAGUGGUUAUAGAUGGGCUCACGGCCUAUCAGCUUGUUGGUGAGGUAACGGCUCACCAAGGCGACGACGGGUAGCCGGCCGGGGAGGGUGACCGGCCACACGGGAACUGGGCAACGGCCCGGACUCCUAGGGGGGGCAGAAGGGGGGAAAUGUGGAAAAGGGGCGCAAGCCUGAUGGAGGGAGGCCGGGGGGGGGAGGACGGCCUUCGGGUUGUAAACCUCUGUUAGGAGGGAAGAAGGGGGAUGGCCGGAACCGGCAAAGAAAGCCCGGGCAAACUACUG
Molecule: ribosomal RNA, 470 nt
Filed under: uncultured bacterium
Lineage: Bacteria
Description: partial 16S ribosomal RNA
Rfam family: Bacterial small subunit ribosomal RNA
Source: RNAcentral